GAGAGAGAGAGAGACAGAGAGAGAGAGAGAGAGAGAGAGAGUGAGAGAGGUGAGAUAAGCAGAGGAAAGGCAGAGGAAAGUGGGUGUUGCAUGCCAGCUUGCAAGACUGGCGACACAGGGUCUGGCGGGCAGCUGGGGACAUCACAGACCCCCACCUGCACAGAACCUGAGGCUCAGGAGAGAGGUAUGUGCAGAAGACGGGGCCAUGGGAGUUGUCCACACAGAGGGAGCAGAUGAGUACACGGGACAGAUGACAUCGGGUUGGGAAAACAGAAACCCAAGCAAGAAGACAGCUCCGCAGCUCCGAGCCUCGCGCCCGUCUCCCAAGUGGCCUGUGCUGUCUGGGCGUCCUCUCGGACUGGCUGUGGUUCCAGGACUGCCGCCAGGCGGGGGUUCUGCUUGGUUGCUGUACACACAGCCGUUGUUUAACGCUCGGCCUGCUGUGUGAAUUUCUGCACGUCCCCUGUGGUUAUUCAAAUUCACAGCCCUGAUGUGGCAGAGCAGGGAGGGAGGCAGAGAGGGCAGAGCCCUCAGAACAGCAAGGCUGGCAGGGCGGGCGGAGAGAGAGGCGUGGGGGCAGCAGAUUGAAGGGGACACUGGGGAGGGAGGCGGGGACCAGGGGCACAACGGCCCAGGGCCAUGGAGCCCAGGUCACGGGUGUUGCCCCUUUCCAGAACACUGUAAGUAACAGGUAUUUGUGCAAUCAAUUCUAUGAAGACUCUAUAUUAAAUUACAGUAAGAAUCAGCCACGUGGAGCAGAGAGGAUGGGGAAGUGGGUUAUCUUUCUCAUGGAGCCCAGGCAGGGGUGUGUCUAUACCCCAGGUUCUGGAACCACAGGGAGCUGGGGGGGGGGGGCGUGAAUCCGUAUCAGCGUCUGUGUGCCUGACACCGGGCAGCUUCCUCCAUGAACCCAGGGACUCAUCUUUCCACAGAGACACCAGGACCUGCCUAACUACUUGGAGAGGGCUAAAUGAGGUCCUGCACGCUGAUCAUCAGCGGAUCCAGCCGGCUGGUGGUAACCGGGAUGGCCCCGCUCUGUGUGUCAGCACCAGCACAUCAUGGGACAGAAAGGUCCCAGUCUCCCCCUCUGUGCAGAGAGGGUCCUCCACCAGGCACCUGGCGACUCCAGCAACUGAACUGCAGUCAGAAUCCCGCGGUUCUCAGCUAUGGGCCACUUCUCUUCCAAUAUCACACAUUGGAGAAAAGCAAACUGCUACCUCCAAAGCCAGACCCAUCUCGGACUCACUGCUGAAGUUGACUGAAGCCAUUUCUACCGGGCUCCUCCUCCACAUUUUGUCUCCAUUUCCCCAACGCCUUGGGUCGGCAAUGCCACCCAGCUGCCACACGGACAGCUCACAGACACACUCACAGCCACGUUUCCAUCCUUCUGCACGUGUGAGUCUUCCAGAGAGGCCAGGCCUGCCCCCUCCCCGCCCCCCGUCUCGCCUCCAUCCCCUUCCUUCCCUUACCUUGGGGCUGUGGGUUUUCUAGCCUCCUGCAAUCAUUGUUUGUGCCUCUUUCCACUGGUGUUCAACCCGAGGGACAGUUCUCCUCACCAAGCCAAUUUGAAUUAAUUUUGCGGGGACAAUUGCACAAGACAAUGUAUCAAUGGCUGUAUUAAAAUCAAGAUAGAUUGCACGGGCCCCGUCCUCCCUGUCCCUUCAUUCCGCAGUUUCCUCAAAGGCACAAUCGAGUGUGUCUGGCAUAAUUUGUUCUUUAUUAACCCAGACUGCUCAUUGCCUGCGCUUAUAAUUUUAGAAAGAUUUUUGGCGGUGUCUUAUUUCUCCAAUACUUUGCUUUAUUGUGCUUGGUGAUUGGAUCUCAGCGAUGAAGAUGACAACUUGCUUCCAGGCUUCAUUAACCACGUGGCCUUCAGGAAAGUAACGCGCCUCUCUCAGGCCCCGUGGUCCCAUCUAAAGUGGAACCAUCCUUAUUCCUCCAUUAGUGGUACUGGGGGACGCAUAGGAAGCUGUCGGUGUCAUGUUUCCAUUUCUGGAGCCAAGGUUGAGGUCACCUGUGCACGGGUUCCCC
Long non-coding RNA from Oryctolagus cuniculus (rabbit), 2031 nucleotides. NCBI's taxonomy places the organism in Eukaryota, Metazoa, Chordata, Mammalia, Lagomorpha, Leporidae. The record is from Ensembl.